This is a non-coding RNA of Triticum aestivum (bread wheat), 79 nucleotides long. The record is from Rfam. Lineage: Eukaryota; Viridiplantae; Streptophyta; Magnoliopsida; Poales; Poaceae.
CUGCUAUUAUUGGGGCUCCUAACUCACAUUCCCCUUCAAGACUUCACAAUGGAUGAUGCAAAAUCGAGUUUUUGAUGCU